RNAcentral lists this ribosomal RNA (301 nucleotides) under uncultured bacterium. RNAcentral describes it as "partial 16S ribosomal RNA". It matches the Rfam family "Bacterial small subunit ribosomal RNA", at positions 509 to 807 of the family's 1533-position model. The record is from RNAcentral.
CAGCCGCCGCGGGAAAACGUAGGGUGCAAGCGUUAAUCGGAAUUACUGGGCGUAAAGCGUGCGCAGGCGGUUAUAUAAGACAGAUGUGAAAUCCCCGGGCUCAACCUGGGAACUGCAUUUGUGACUGUAUAGCUAGAGUACGGCAGAGGGGGAUGGAAUUCCGCGUGUAGCAGUGAAAUGCGUAGAUAUGCGGAGGAACACCGAUGGCGAAGGCAAUCCCCUGGGCCUGUACUGACGCUCAUGCACGAAAGCGUGGGGAGCAAACAGGAUUAGAUACCCCUGUAGUCCCUGUCUCUUAUAC